CCUACGGGUGGCUGCAGUGGGGAAUCUUGCGCAAUGGGCGAAAGCCUGACGCAGCGACGCCGCGUGAGUGAUGAAGGCCUUCGGGUUGUAAAGCUCUGUGGAGGGGGACGAAUAAGUGUUGGCUAAUAUCCAGCAUGAUGACGGUACCCCUUUAGCAAGCACCGGCUAACUCUGUGCCAGCAGCCGCGGUAAGACAGAGGGUGCAAACGUUGUUCGGAAUGACUGGGCGUAAAGCGCGUGUAGGCGGCCUCGCAAGUCGGGUGUGAAAGCCCUGG
Molecule: ribosomal RNA, 275 nt
Filed under: uncultured bacterium
Lineage: Bacteria
Description: partial 16S ribosomal RNA
Rfam family: Bacterial small subunit ribosomal RNA
Source: RNAcentral